GACGAACGCUGGCGGCGUGCUUAACACAUGCAAGUCGAACGAGAGCGUAGAGAAAGCUUGCUUUUUCUACAAUCUAGUGGCAAACGGGUGAGUAACGCGUAAACAACCUGCCCUACGGAUGGGGACAACAGCUGGAAACGGCUGCUAAUACCGAAUACGUUCCGAAAGUCGCAUGACUACCGGAAGAAAGGAUGGCCUCUAUUUAUAAGCUAUCGCCGGAGGAGGGGUUUGCGUCUGAUUAGCUAGUUGGAGGGGUAACGGCCCACCAAGGCGACGAUCAGUAGCCGGUCUGAGAGGAUGGACGGCCACAUUGGAACUGAGACACGGUCCAGACUCCUACGGGAGGCAGCAGUGGGGAAUCUUCCGCAAUGGGCGAAAGCCUGACGGAGCAACGCCGCGUGAGUGAAGACGGCCUUCGGGUUGUAAAGCUCUGUUAUACGGGACGAAUAAUCUUGUGGUUAAUACCCAUGAGAAGUGACGGUACCGUAAGAGAAAGCCACGGCUAACUACGUG
Molecule: ribosomal RNA, 513 nt
Filed under: uncultured bacterium
Lineage: Bacteria
Description: partial 16S ribosomal RNA
Rfam family: Bacterial small subunit ribosomal RNA
Source: RNAcentral